GGCUUAGAGUUUGAUCAUGGCUCAGGAUGAACGCUGGCGGCGUGCCUAACACAUGCAAGUCGAACGGAGAUUAACGCUGAAUUGAUAAUUAGCUUGCUAAGAGGAUUUUCUUGUUAAUCUUAGUGGCGGACGGGUGAGUAACACGUGAGCAACCUGCCUUUCAGAGGGGGAUAACGGCUGGAAACGGUCGCUAAUACCGCAUGACAUAUUCGGAUGGCAUCGUCUGAAUAUCAAAGGAGCAAUCCGCUGAAAGAUGGGCUCGCGUCUGAUUAGAUAGUUGGUGAGGUAACGGCUCACCAAGUCGACGAUCAGUAGCCGGACUGAGAGGUUGAACGGCCACAUUGGGACUGAGAUACGGCCCAGACUCCUACGGGAGGCAGCAGUGGGGAAUAUUGCACAAUGGGGGAAACCCUGAUGCAGCAACGCCGCGUGAAGGAAGACGGUUUUCGGAUUGUAAACUUCUUUUCUUAGUGAAGAAGAAAGUGACGGUAGCUAAGGAAUAAGCAUCGGCUAACUACGUGCCAGCAGCCGCGGUAAUACGUAGGAUGCAAGCGUUAUCCGGAUUUACUGGGUGUAAAGGGAGCGCAGGCGGGACUGCAAGUUGGAUGUGAAAUGCCGGGGCUCAACCCCGGAGCUGCAUCCAAAACUGUAGUUCCUGAGUGGAGUAGAGGCAAGCG
RNAcentral lists this ribosomal RNA (677 nucleotides) under uncultured organism. Its description in RNAcentral is "bacterial SSU rRNA". It matches the Rfam family "Bacterial small subunit ribosomal RNA", at positions 1 to 663 of the family's 1533-position model. The record is from RNAcentral.